Molecule: transfer RNA, 85 nt
Filed under: Candidatus Moraniibacteriota bacterium
Lineage: Bacteria; Candidatus Moraniibacteriota
Description: tRNA-Leu
Rfam family: tRNA
About the family: Transfer RNA (tRNA) molecules are approximately 80 nucleotides in length. Their secondary structure includes four short double-helical elements and three loops (D, anti-codon, and T loops).
Source: RNAcentral
GCCCGGGUGGUGAAACCGGUAUACACGAAGGACUUAAAAUCCUUUGGACUUAUCCUCCGUGCGGGUUCGAGUCCCGCCCCGGGCA